CAGUAGCCGCGGUAAUACGAAGGGGGCUAGCGUUGUUCGGAAUAACUGGGCGUAAAGGGCGCGUAGGCGGAUCUUUAAGUCAGGGGUGAAAUCCCAAGGCUCAACCUUGGAACUGCCUUUGAUACUGGAGAUCUUGAGUCCGGGAGAGGUGAGUGGAACUGCGAGUGUAGAGGUGAAAUUCGUAGAUAUUCGCAAGAACACCAGUGGCGAAGGCGGCUCACUGGCCCGGUACUGACGCUGAGGCGCGAAAGCGUGGGGAGCAAACAGGAUUAGAUACCCCCGUAGUCCCUGUCUCUUAUAC
Molecule: ribosomal RNA, 301 nt
Filed under: uncultured bacterium
Lineage: Bacteria
Description: partial 16S ribosomal RNA
Rfam family: Bacterial small subunit ribosomal RNA
Source: RNAcentral